UACUUCUAGGGGAUUUGGGUUUCUUUAACAACUAAAGUUCCUGAUAUAUCCCAGUUUUCACUGAUUUUAUCUAUGUUUUAGGUAUAGGAUCUUGAGUCUUUAUAUUAUUUCUCGAGUCUUUUUAGUGUCUUUUCAAGUAUUCUAUGCACUGAGACAAUAAUAGAGAUAAGGAGACAUUUUGGAGCAAGAGCUAAGGAAAAGGAAGCUAAGGACGAUUUUGGAUCCAGGAAUUAGGGAGGAGUGUUGAUUGACACACUCUUGGUGUCGAUCGACAACAGUUUCGGCCCAGUAAAAGUCCUAGAUGCUUUCGAGUUUACAGAAGAGGAAAUUUGCCCUAGAAGACUUCCCUAUUUUGUUACUCACGCGUUUCUUGUUUUCUUCCUUUUUGUGUUUCAGGUGUAUGCCUAGGCAAACAAAGAGCACAAAACAGAAGAAGCUUAUCAACUUGUCUGUACUGGACUUGGGAAAACUUGAACGCACCAACCGAAAAACUCAGAGAUUAGCAAUGACUAAUAGAGUCAUCAGAGCUGAUGUAGAAGGAGUUUUGAGAGAUAAGGAUGGGCAAGCCUACAAUAAGGCUGGUCAGAGAUUGAAUGAUCAUGGACUCAUCCUACUUGAGGACGUCGAUGAGAAUCAGGCGCGCCUCAACGCGCAAAUAGCUGUCAGAGACACAGUAGGGCUCGCUGUCGAUUGAUACAAAAGAGGUGUCGAUCAACACCAUAGGGAGCAGAAUGACGAUGUAGUUGGUGUCGAACGACACAACAGAGGUGUCGAUCGACACCAACACCAGAUUCCUGCAGCUAUUCCUCCAACUGCGAAACCACGUCGUACUCUUGGGGAUUUCAACAGGCCCAACCUGUUCUAUGCUAAUUGAUCAGCGAUCGUACCCCCACCCUUCCAGAGGAACGUCUAUGAGCUGAAGCCUCGCUACUUUACUUUAGUUGGUCAGCACCCUUUCCAUGGCUUAUCUCAUGAGCAGCCAAUGGACCAUAUAGAGCGCUUUGAGGACCUUGUUCUAAGCAUCAAGACUAAUGGAGUCUCAGAGGACUACCUACUUUGCAAGCUCUUCCCUUAUUCACUUGCUGGGGAAGCAGCUUCUUGACUGAAACAACUUAAAGCAGGUUCCCUCAAGACUUGGAGAAGCAUCAAGAUAGCCUUCUUGAACAAUUUCUACGAUGAUCCUAAGUUUGAUGAGUUGAGAAACAAGCUGUCUACCUUCACACAGGGUCCAGCUAAAUCUUAAAAGGCUGUGUGGUUCAUUUCAAUGAGUACCAACGGGACUGCCCACAUCACGGUUUCAGUGACGUACAACUUCUAGGUACUUUCUUCAGAGGAGUCAAUUGGAGAUACCAUAUGGCUCUAGAUGCAGCAAGAAAUGGUAACUUCAACACACGUUACCCAACUGAUGCUACAACCCUGAUAGAGAACCUCGCUUGCAGCAACAGUAACAAGAAUGCUGAUUUUGAGAGGAAGAAGAUUGAUGGAGCUAUUUCAGGUAAUCAAAUGGCAGAGGUGAAUGCUAAGCUGGAUUCGGUUCAUAACUUGCUUACAGAGAAGAAGCAUGUCCACUUUGCAGCUGAGGAUGAGACUAUUGAGCCUGAGCCUGAGUCAGAGGAAGGAGUCUUCUACAUAGAUGGUCAGGGAUACAAGAAGUUUUGGGCAGCCACAGGGCAACUUCAGUGGCAACAGGUUUACAGAGAACCAGGGUUCCUCCAACUACACUCCAAAGCCUGCUUUCCAGAAGACCUUUCCUUAGAGAAACUUUCAGAGGACCUAUGGUAAUUCAGCUUACCAAGCCUCCCCUCCACCCACAGAAGAGACAAGAAUGGAAUCGAUGCUUGAGCAGAUUCUGGAGAGCCAAACAAAGCUCGUUAUGGAAUUCCAUUGUCAACUUCUUUAGCUUACUUCCCCUAGAAUUCUUUCCCUUUUCUUAUCAACAAUGAAUUCACCCUUUUCUUUCUUUUAAACACAUCCCAACCCAUGAUAUAAGCGCCCACCUAGUUCUAUCCAAUCCUGAAAACGCGAACUAGAACUACAUGAGACACUAUCUCUAUCGUUACGAACCUAACACUUUUUACCAUGCUCAAUCGGGAUAAGACCUGACAAACACUCACAAGUGAUAAAUGGCUUGAAAGAAGGUUUAGGUUUAGGGUCGGGGUUAACUGCUCCAAUGAGGGGAGUCAGCUACUUGGACUAACAAGAGUGGUUAAAAUGAGUAAGGAAGUCCAAAUAAUGUAGGGUAUACAUGAGUUCGAAUUCGAUGCUAAGACAUGAUAAUUCUAAAUCAGAUUCAGGUUCAAAUUGAUUGGGAAUGGUAUCAAAUCAUGACAGUGUGGCGAGUAGAGCAAUCUAGGCAUGGUGCAGUUUUAUUUCAAUUUAAUUGACUACGCAUCAGACAACUAACAACGAGGACACUAAGUUUAUCUAGUGAACCAAAAAGCUUACAAGGCUAUCUCAUCAUUAUCCCCCAUGCAUAUGCAAUAAUCCUAAAUGAAACACUCUAGACUCGAUCCUAAAUGUAAUGCAACUACAUGAACACUCUGUUUUUUUUUUAAAUCAUUUUCUGAAAUUUUUCAAUUUUUUUGUUUUUUUUUUCUAUGCCUUAGAUGAAUGCAGACUCAAAACUAUAUACAAUGCAACACACACUUCCUGAGUCCUCCCCCAAACUUAAAUCACACAGUCCUCUAUGUGACCAAAUUUAGAAAAGAGUACUCAGGACAAAACACAUCACAGAAACAAAAUAAAAACAGGAGAUGGUAUAAUACAAGGGUGAAGUGAGGUGCUUACCUCAGUCGAAGAAGGAGCAGAGUUGGUCGUCAAUAACUACCUAUGAUUGCUUCAGGCCAUUGAAGAAUCUCCCUAUUGUGUCUCAGCUCCGCCUUGUGGGUACUCGACCUCAUCUCCUUCGUGGCGGCCAUCACCAUAUUUUUUCAGGUGAUUACUGAUGACCCCAUGGAUGUCUUUCAUACUCCACUUGAAUCACAUGAUUGUUAUAAGGAUGAUGCAAAAGAAGGCAAUCCAAUUUUUGACACUGGUGUCAAGGAUCCAAAUGGCAAUGAUGCAGAUGAUGAGGGAAAAAUCCAGGUACUUUUAUAAAUACAAACACAACACAUCAAACAUUUUAUUUAACAUUUUAUAGAUUCUUACACAUUUGACUAUUGUACUUUACAAUCAGUUUGAUUCAAGUGCAAACCUAAGCAACAAAAAACAAUCUCCUCAGUCCAUUCUUAAACCAAAUUAUGGAGGUAAGCUAAUAUAUAAACCAAAUUAUUGUCAGUCCAAAUCUCCUCAGUCCAUUCUUAAACCAAAUUAUUGUCACAGUCCUUAAGAUAUAUUCGUUUGUAAUUCAUUAUUCAGGACACCUUGGAGACGGUUGAAGCUUCUCUUUCAGUGUUGGAGACGCAACCCGAAGAAAACAUUGACGAUGAUCCUAUGCGGGAGGUAAGCUAAUAAAUAAUUUGUUGGAACACAUCGGAGAGGGUUUCUGCAUCCCAGUCCUUAAACCAAAUUUUCAUUGUCCUUACGCCAUCUUCCUCUAUAAUUCAUAAUUCAGGAAACCUUGGAGACGGUUGAAGCUUCUCAUUCAAUGUUGGAGACACAACCCGAAGAAAACAUUGACGAUGAUCCUAUGAUGAAGGUAAGCUAAUAUAUAAUUUGAUGUAACACAUCGGAGAUGGUUGCUGCAUCCCAAUCCUUAAACUAAAUAAUGGCACAUGUGCAUAGUUAUUGUGCACAGGAUUUUGUGGAUACUUAGGAGUGUACUUCGACAUUCAGGUCACUUUGGAGGCGGGUGCAGCAUCUCAAUCAGUGGUGGAGCCGCAACCCGAUGACCCUAUGGAGGUAUACAUUUUUAACUAGUUCCUUGAUUUAUUGGACACUGGAGAGAGAUGCUUCAUCUCUCAGUCCUUGUCCAAAAAAACAUUUACAGGGCAAUUCUCCACAGGGCAAUUCUCCAUAGGGCAAUGCAGCAUCUCAUUCAUUGUUACAGACUCAACCAGAAGUCAACAUCGACGGUGGUCCUUUGAAGGUGUACAAUAACAACAAGUAUCAUUUUAUGGGUUGCGGUUCUUGUGUUAUUGGACAAGAUUUUGUGGUUACUUCAUAAUUUGUAGGAAAUAUUUCUUAUAUUUUUUCUGACCAGCUUUUUGGGUACUUCAACAUUCAGGACAACAUGGAGACGGCUGCAGCAUCUCAUUCAUUGCUAGAGACUCAACGAGAAGUCAACAUCGACGGUGAUCCUAUAAGGUAUGCAGUAACAACAAGUAUCAUUUUAUGGGUUGUGGUUCUUGUGUUAUUGAACAUGAUUUUGUUGAUACUUCUUAAUUUGUAGGCAAUAUUUCUUAUAUUUAUUCAAACCAGCUACAUGUGUACUUCAACAUUCAGGUUAUUGUGGAGAUACUUGCAGCAUCGCAUUCAGUGUCGGAGGCACAACCCGAAGUAAAGAUUGGCAAUGAUGCUACGGGGGUAUAAAUUUCUAACUAGUUUCAGCUAAUGAUUUACAUUCAUUCAUUUAUUGGAGAUUGUAGAGGUUUGCUGCAUCUCUCAGGCAUUAUGCAACAAACAUUUAUAGAAAAAAUGUUCCACAUGGUAAAGUUAUCUAAAAAUAAGGUCAACAUUAGGUUUGAACUAAAUUAUGAUACCAUGUUCACUUUUAUAUUUGACAGGAGUUUGUGGAUCCCUUAACAUUUGCAGAUAAUAUUAUCUUAUGUUUUCUCACCAUCUUUUUGUGUACUUCAACUUUUAGGACACCAUGGAGACGCCUCCAACAUCUCAUUCAUUGUUAGGGUUUGCAAUGUUCUCUGAAAAGAAGGUCAUCCUUAUGUCUAAACUAAAUUAGGCUUGCAUGUUCACUUUUAUAUUGGAUAGGAGUUUGUGGAUUCGUUAUAACUUGCA
Molecule: small RNA, 4893 nt
Filed under: Arabidopsis thaliana (thale cress)
Lineage: Eukaryota; Viridiplantae; Streptophyta; Magnoliopsida; Brassicales; Brassicaceae
Description: ATSL093800
Source: RNAcentral